This is a long non-coding RNA of Rattus norvegicus (Norway rat), 929 nucleotides long. RefSeq lists it as uncharacterized. Lineage: Eukaryota; Metazoa; Chordata; Mammalia; Rodentia; Muridae. The record is from RefSeq and is a predicted model, not a curated record.
AGUCUGAAGCUCCUCACAAGCCAGACCUGCCUAGAAUCUGGGUGGAGAACAGUGAGGGAAGGGUACAUUUUGAGAUGACCCUGGGGUUCUAUGUACUUAGGAAACCAGGAGCAGGGGAGGACCGGCACAUCAAAGAGAACAUGCUUCAGCCGCACAGUAGCCUGGAAACUCAGAGAAACAACAACCAGGGAACAGAGAGGAGUGUCCUCAAGAGGCUCAACUGAGAACUGAGAAGUUCCCAACUGCUGUGGACUUUCCUCUGUUCCUGCUGCCUUCCCAGGGUGAAUAAGGAGGAUUGGUAAUCAUCCACAUGGAAAGGGACUCCAUGCUGCUGUUGGAGGUUCAUGCUGCUGUCCGAGGCUGCAACAAAGCCUGAGAAACAUGAGGACUUACACAGUCUGUACUACUUCUUGAUGCCUUGGUGAAGUUCUCGGGCUUUGCUCCCUCAUGGAGCCAUGUUGAGGUGAGCAGUAUAUGUAAACCACCGGACACCACGUUGAGGUUCCUCGACUAUGCAGUCACUGAGGGCCAUGAGUUGGUCACUGGUCCUGAUGUACCCAAGGUCAGUGUUAUGUCUUCACCUAUAUUACCACCUAAGCCAGUGCUGCCUGAAGCCAUGUUAUUGCCCAAGACUACGGGAGGAGUUGGCCCCUCCCCUUAGUGGCAGUCACACAGAGGCACUAGCUAUGGAUGAUGGAGAGCUGGCCCAAAGCACUGCAGUAUGGGAGGGUAAGGAAUGGGAAAACUAACUCCAGACACCUCAUAGCUCUCUUCAGAUGAUGGUUUUUGGCAUGGAUGCAGGAGGAGGAAGAUUCUUUCUCUUUUUGGGGUAUUGCCACUAGGAAUUUGAUGAUGCUUUGGUGACGAAAUGGACCAUACAAAAGGGACAUUUCCCCUCUUUUAUGUGGGAGGAGGUCAAGAGGAGAAGG